This 200-nucleotide unclassified non-coding RNA is filed under the name fungal sp. RNAcentral's name for it is "partial internal transcribed spacer 2". The record is from RNAcentral. Lineage: Eukaryota; Fungi.
UUAAGUUCAGCGGGUAUCCCUACCUGAUCCGAGGUCAAAAUAUAAAAGUAAAGCUUAUGGGGGGCUACCUUCUACUGCUAGAGACGCAAUUCUGCUGCGCUCAAAGCCGCUGAAGUGGCUGCCAAUUAUUUUAAGGCGAGUCCAUGCCGACGGCAGGACAGACACCCAACACCAAGCUGUGCUUGAAGGUGAAAAUGACG